GACGAACGCUGGCGGCGUGCCUAAUACAUGCAAGUCGAGCGGACGAAUCGAAAGCUUGCUUUUGAUUCGUUAGCGGCGGACGGGUGAGUAACACGUGGGCAACCUGCCCUGUAGACGGGGAUAACACCGAGAAAUCGGUGCUAAUACCGGAUAACACGAAAUGUCGCAUGACGUUUCGUUGAAAGACGGCGCAAGCUGUCGCUACAGGAUGGGCCCGCGGCGCAUUAGCUAGUUGGUGAGGUAACGGCUCACCAAGGCGACGAUGCGUAGCCGACCUGAGAGGGUGAUCGGCCACACUGGGACUGAGACACGGCCCAGACUCCUACGGGAGGCAGCAGUAGGGAAUCUUCCGCAAUGGACGAAAGUCUGACGGAGCAACGCCGCGUGAGCGAAGAAGGCCUUCGGGUCGUAAAGCUCUGUUGUUAGGGAAGAACAAGUAACGCAGUAACUGGCGUUACCGUGACGGUACCUAACGAGAAAGCCACGGCUAACUACGUGCCAGCCGCCGCCGUAACAC
This 517-nucleotide ribosomal RNA is filed under the name uncultured bacterium. RNAcentral's name for it is "bacterial SSU rRNA". It matches the Rfam family "Bacterial small subunit ribosomal RNA", at positions 28 to 526 of the family's 1533-position model. The record is from RNAcentral.